This 432-nucleotide ribosomal RNA is filed under the name uncultured bacterium. RNAcentral describes it as "partial 16S ribosomal RNA". It matches the Rfam family "Bacterial small subunit ribosomal RNA", at positions 29 to 507 of the family's 1533-position model. The record is from RNAcentral.
ACGAACGCUGGCGGCAUGCCUAACACAUGCAAGUCGAACGAGACCUUCGGGUCUAGUGGCGCACGGGUGCGUAACGCGUGGGAACCUGCCCUUAGGUUCGGAAUAACUCCCCGAAAGGGGUGCUAAUACCGGAUAAUGUCUUCGGACCAAAGAUUUAUCGCCUUUGGAUGGGCCCGCGUUGGAUUAGCUAGUUGGUAGGGUAAAAGCUUACCAAGGCGACGAUCCAUAGCUGGUCUGAGAGGAUGAUCAGCCACACUGGGACUGAGACACGGCCCAGACUCCUACGGGAGGCAGCAGUGGGGAAUAUUGGACAAUGGGCGAAAGCCUGAUCCAGCAAUGCCGCGUGAGUGAUGAAGGCCUUAGGGUUGUAAAGCUCUUUUACCCGGGAUGAUAAUGACAGUACCGGGAGAAUAAGCUCCGGCUAACUCCGUG